UCUCUUCUAUGUGGCUAUUUCUAUGCUUCCCAUGUUUACAUUUAGUUUUUGAGUCUUACUUUCAGUUUUGAAAACCAGCUUCAAACAGCUGAAAAUACAAUAUUUUUGUGUAUGUAAAAUAUAUUUCACAGUGGUUUAGAUGGUACAAUGAUUCUCUACACUAUACUUUAUUGUCACAAAAACGAAUUUUUGCGACCAGGAAAUAGCAGAGCGAUUUAUGCAUAGUGCAUCUUUAAGUGGAGUGUUUCCCCACUUCAUGACACUAUUCACUUUUGUUUUUGUAGACACCCCCCCCCCCACUUCAUGUUACAAGACUUGUACUUAGGUUUCAUUUUCAUCCAGCCACACACCCUUUCCAAGAAAUGAACGUUUUUGUAAACACAAUCUGAAAAGUCAGAGCAAAUUUGCACUGCCAGUGGAUCAACAUCCAUCAAGGUAACGUGUUCUGUUUUUACGUUAAGUAAAUACACUUUAAUCACUUUUUUAGAAACCGAGAUACAAAAACAGAACAUUCGAGAAGACGUAAGGACAACAUCUAACAAGAUGGAUAAGAUAUUCAAUAUUCUCCAGCGGCACAGACUGGAGACCUACUACGAUAAAUUCCGCACGUUUGGUGUCAAAGAUGAGAGAGAUUUCGUUGAAGACAUAACUGGUGAAGAUCUAGUCAACAUGGGUUUUACUCAAAUAGAGAAGAAUCGCUUUGAAAAAAUGAAAGUUUUCAUUCAAAGACUCAAAGCGCCACAGCAAGCGAUGCCUGUACAAAAAUCUAUGGAGGCUUUCCAACUGCGGUACACAUACCCCCACUGUCCUGAGCUAAAAGAGAUCACAGACAUGGAUCCUGCUACAAACACCGUUGAAGAUCUGAUGCUAAGGAUCUGUCACCAAGAGGGCAUUGAGAACUCUAAAGCUGUGUGCCUCUACACCGUUGAUGGAAUGCCUUUAACUGAUGAUCCUUUCUUUAACACAUGGUCUUUGAAAGACAGGCACAUUGAAAAUGGAAGUGAGCUCUAUGCCAUGUUUACACCCAAGGAGAAUUUGAAACAAGCCCCCCAAAUGCCACUGCAAGAGAUGACUGACAUGACAGGAGAGGAUAAUGUUCGAUGCCACAUCAUGCUCAAGGGAGACUAUGAACUCAAGGUGAACUUGGAAAGUGACACAAUUACAGAUCUGAGACAGAAGCUCUCUAAUGAAAGUGGAAUCCCAGCACAUGUCCUCCAUUACAAAGGUGAAAACCAUGUUGGAGACACAUUGAAAGACUGUGGAAUCAACGUGGAGUCAACAGUGCACUUUUCUUUAUCGUCUUUCCCCGAACACAAUCAAGAUCACUUCCAAGACACAAUAGCAAUCUUCCUUAAUGAUGUCGUUCCAUCAGUGCAACAAACCCAGAAAGGACUCAGUGUUUUCUUUUCUUCACUUUAUGUCAUUAAAAGGAAACAUUCUGGAUAUGGUUUCAAGAAAGUGAUUGCAUACAUCCGAAAGCUCAGUGGAUGCAAUCCUCUGGCCCAAAGUCUGUAUCAGCUGUUGUGCAGAAAUGAGAUUGGAACAGGGACCCAGAAGGUGAUUCAAAACGUAAACAUAGGCAGGCCUACAAUAUUCUUCAAUUCCACAAAUGUGUUUUGGCUUAAGAGCAUUUGUAUUCCUUUUAGAUUGUACAGUCCUUCAACAAUGGCAAUCUCUUCAGAGAGCUGCUGCCAAGUCGAAUAA
Molecule: long non-coding RNA, 1704 nt
Organism: Salmo trutta (river trout)
Lineage: Eukaryota; Metazoa; Chordata; Actinopteri; Salmoniformes; Salmonidae
Source: Ensembl